Molecule: long non-coding RNA, 509 nt
Filed under: Homo sapiens (human)
Lineage: Eukaryota; Metazoa; Chordata; Mammalia; Primates; Hominidae
Description: HSALNT0366150
Source: RNAcentral
CUCACUCGGUCGACCCCGCGCGCGCACACAGCCCGCGUCCUCUUCGCCCCCGGCUCGGUCCUGCCCCGCGUCCCUGCAGUUCACAAAGGGUAAGAGGGCGCCAUUGGGGCUCUGUGGGGCGCCCCCGCUGAGGAUGUUGUCGGCCGCGCUCUCCAUCUCCUCUAUGGUCAUGUCGCAGGCGUCGGCCAGCUCCUGGGUGGUGACCUCGAUGAACUUGGGAUCUUGAGCAAACUGCCCCAGUCCUUCUGAAAUCAAGACCUGAAGGAGCGGGGUGGGAGCCAUGAAGAACCAAAGGAACAUUACUCCUGGAGCCCAGCUCUUCCCUUGAGGGCUAGAGCGAGGGGGUAUCUGAGAGAAGCUUGUUUGGCUUGGUACUGGACUUGGGAUGAGAGCUCUUCCUUCUACGUUCCAAGAGAGAAGCUUCUUUGGCUUGGUACUGGACUUGGGAUGACAGCUCUGCUUCUCUGAGGAGAAAUGCACAUCUCAGGAGGAGUCGGGAGGUGCUGAAU